CCAGACUCCUACGGGAGGCAGCAGUGGGGAAUAUUGCACAAUGGGGGAAACCCUGAUGCAGCGACGCCGCGUGAGCGAUGAAGUAUUUCGGUAUGUAAAGCUCUAUCAGCAGGGAAGAAAAUGACGGUACCUGACUAAGAAGCCCCGGCUAACUACGUGCCAGCAGCCGCGGUAAUACGUAGGGGGCAAGCGUUAUCCGGAUUUACUGGGUGUAAAGGGAGCGUAGACGGCGGUGCAAGCCAGAUGUGAAAGCCCGGGGCUCAACCCCGGGACUGCAUUUGGAACUGUGCUGCUAGAGUGUCGGAGAGGCAGGCGGAAUUCCUAGUGUAGCGGUGAAAUGCGUAGAUAUACGGAGGAACACCAGUGGCGAAGGCGGCCUGCUGGACAUUAACUGACGCUGAGGCGCGAAAGCGUGGGGAGCAAACAGGAUUAGAUACCCUGGUAC
RNAcentral lists this ribosomal RNA (445 nucleotides) under uncultured bacterium. Its description in RNAcentral is "partial 16S ribosomal RNA". It matches the Rfam family "Bacterial small subunit ribosomal RNA", at positions 331 to 793 of the family's 1533-position model. The record is from RNAcentral.